Molecule: long non-coding RNA, 2437 nt
Organism: Cyprinus carpio carpio
Lineage: Eukaryota; Metazoa; Chordata; Actinopteri; Cypriniformes; Cyprinidae
Source: Ensembl
CUUUCUUCCAGGGAAUAUCAAUUACAAAACCAUUCAAAAGAAGAGAUUACAUAAGGCACUGAAAUAGACUCCACCUGAAACAAAACUCAAAUUUAUAUAUAUAUAUAUGUGUGUGUGCGCGUGUGAGUGCGUGUAUUUAAAUAGUGUUGUAAUACCACGCGUGUCCGGUAGAGGUCACAAGAGUCCUUCAGAUGAGCUUGUUCUCAAUCUGCACCUGAAGGGCUUUAUCAGUGAUGAUUGAGAACGAUUACAUUAUUAUGCCAUUUCACAAGAUGAAUAUGCACAUUAGGAGUGGAUUUGGGUUACUGUACUUAAUCCAUCUUUUUUUUUGCUCAUCAAAUCAACCUUUUUCCCUUACGAGCAAAUGCAUGCCAGCAGGCCGCAUCUUAUUUUCCCAAAUGUGAUGCAUUGCUUUAUCGCUAAUUAUGAAUAUGCAAAUGAAGGCAGGCUCAAUGAGAAGUGUUUUGAAAAAUAGACUCCCUAAGGCCUUGAUUGAUUAUAUCACACAUGAGAGUGUUUCUAUAGAGAACUGCAGAAAAAUCACACCUCGAUUUCUUUUCUUGUUGAGAUUUAUAUUGUGCAAGUAAAAUAAGUUUUGAAUUCGAUUCAAGUAGGAUUAGAUAUUUGUUUUGCAUGGAGCAAGUUUAGUCCAGCUAAAUCUGUUGUAUCCAUACUGCUGUCUGUAAAGUGAAUCUUUGAAUCAGAUAUGCAUCUGUGGAUGUCAUCAAACAUUGCAUCUGUUUGCCUGUUCAGCUGCACUUUCACAGGUUUAGUUUCUUGAGCGACGCUGAUAAUGUGCCAGAUUACGGACACUGAAGAUGUAAAAUGUGUCAGAUGUGUGUUUGUGAGCUCUGUGGUGCUUCUCACUACAGCUUUAUUUGACAGAACAGCUGUGUGAAACACAGGGAGACGAUGUCCCACGAGAUCCAGAGACCGAACAGACCUCACAAGUGCAGUUUUACUUUCCUGUGAUGACUUUUUUUUUUUUUUUUUUCUGUUGGCACAGGACAUAUUGAAGAGCUUGUCCUUUUAUUAAUGAAAGCAAGGUCUGAUAAUAAGCUGUACUUUGGAUCCAAUUAAGUCACUUUAGAUAAAAGUGUCUGUUAAAUGCAUAUGUGAAACACAUCAUUAAGACGUUUUAGCUUCAAAACAUUGGUUAAAUAUGAGACUGUAUUCGGUAAUAAUUCUUACUCUGGUGAAAAAGUGUUCUGGUGUGAAUCAGGAGAGAAAUCUGCACAGAUCAAGCAGCGUUUAAACAGCUCUAAACAAAUCUGUGGCUGGAUUUUGAUGUGAGAGACAACAGCAGAUGCACUUUUUCACUGGAGGAAGUGUUAUUAUGGAUUAUAGACUCUAUGUGUUUGAGUUAAAAAACGUCUUAAUGCUGGAUUUGUUUCAGCUUUUGUCUUCUCCAGAUGUUAACUGAUGGACUGGAGUGCUGUGGAUUACUUGUGGAUUAUUGUGAUGUUUUUAUGGACUCUCAUUCUGACGGCACCCAUUCAGAGCAUCCAUUGCUGAGACAUUUCUCCAAAUCUGAUGAAGAAACAAACUCAUCUAAACCUCGGAUGUCCUGAGGACUUGUUGAAAAAAAAAAAAAAGAUGGAAAAGGAAAAAAACUGUAUUUUUUUCUUCACAAGUGCUUCAGACAAUAGAGACUGAAGCUGAAAUCAGAAUUGCUCAACUUUGCGGCCACAAUUAUAAUUUUUUUAUUAAUAAGCACCAGCUGUGCUUUAAAGACUCGUCUCAUCGGCUUCUUCAAGGUAUUCACAGUGCAAUUACAUCGUCCUGCGUUCGUGAAGCCAUCUGUUUGAGCCUUUGUGCCUCUGUGCAGAUGUUGGAGAGAGAUUUCAGGACUCGUUUCUAAAGACUCGGGGGAGAGAAGUGUUUAGAUAAGCAUGUUAAAUUGAAGCACUUCAGACGUGGCAUUCAUCUGUCCAACAUCACAUUUCAAAUUCAAUCCUAUGUGCAUAAAAUAAAUCAUAACAUGCAGUAGCUUCUUUUUUGACUAGUGCUUCAGGCAAUAACACACUGAUGCUAUUUGCACUUUUAAUCACUGUCAUUGUUCUCUUGAACUUUCUAUUCAUCUGUGAAUCCUGAAAAUUAAAAAGUAUGACGGUUUCCACAAUAAUAACUGUUUUUAAUGAUUUCUGAAGAUCAUGUGACACUGAAGACUGGAGUAAUGAUGCUGAAAAUUCAGCUGCACAUCACAGAAAUAAAUUACAGUUUAACAGAUAUUCACAUAGAAAACACUUAUUUUAAAUAAGAAUAAUAUUUCGCAAUAUUACUGAUUUUACUGUAUUUUUAGUCAAAUUAAUGUAACAGUAGUGAGCAGAAGAGAUUAAAAUAAUUUAAACAUUUUUAACAAAUCUUAAUGGUCCCCAGCUUUUUAAUAGUAGUGUGAAUGUAGCAAAUAUGUAUUCUUUAUUCUCACACAUUUUCA